RNAcentral lists this ribosomal RNA (465 nucleotides) under Vreelandella stevensii. RNAcentral describes it as "partial 16S ribosomal RNA". It matches the Rfam family "Bacterial small subunit ribosomal RNA", at positions 338 to 795 of the family's 1533-position model. Lineage: Bacteria; Pseudomonadati; Pseudomonadota; Gammaproteobacteria; Oceanospirillales; Halomonadaceae. The record is from RNAcentral.
CCUACGGGAGGCAGCAGUGGGGAAUAUUGGACAAUGGGGGGAACCCUGGUCCAGCCAUGCCGCGUGUGUGAAGAAGGCCCUCGGGUUGUAAAGCACUUUCAGUGAGGAAGAACGCCUGGUGGUUAAUACCCAUCAGGAAAGACAUCACUCACAGAAGAAGCACCGGCUAACUCCGUGCCAGCAGCCGCGGUAAUACGGAGGGUGCGAGCGUUAAUCGGAAUUACUGGGCGUAAAGCGCGCGUAGGUGGCUUGAUAAGCCGGUUGUGAAAGCCCCGGGCUCAACCUGGGAACGGCAUCCGGAACUGUCAAGCUAGAGUGCAGGAGAGGAAGGUAGAAUUCCCGGUGUAGCGGUGAAAUGCGUAGAGAUCGGGAGGAAUACCAGUGGCGAAGGCGGCCUUCUGGACUGACACUGACACUGAGGUGCGAAAGCGUGGGUAGCAAACAGGAUUAGAUACCCUAGUAGUC